CUAUGGAAAAACCGGUGCAAGCGAGGUAGCUUCAUGGGAGGGAAAGCCCCCAUGUAUAAGGCGAAUGCGUGAAGCGUAGCGAACUUAAAAGUAGCGAAGCGUGUGGAGUCACUGUCAGGAAAAGCCGCUAUUGCGUAUCAUGAACCCGUACCGUAAACCGACACAGGUGGAUGAGGAGAGAAUCCUAAGGCCGACGGAAGAAGCAUUGUUAAGGAAUUCGGCAAAAUGACCCCGUAACUUCGGGAGAAGGGGUGCCUACGAAUGUAGGCCGCAGAGAAUUGGCCCAAGCAACUGUUUAGCAAAAACACAGGUUUAUGCGAAACCGAAAGGUGAAGUAUAUGAGCUGACGCCUGCCCGGUGCUGGAAGGUUAAGGGGAGAGCUUAGAGGCAACUCGAAGGUUCGAACUUAAGCCCCAGUAAACGGCGGCCGUAACAAUAACGGUCCUAAGGUAGCGAAAUUCCUUGUCGGGUAAGUUCCGACCCGCACGAAAGGCGUAAUGAUUUGGGCACUGUCUCGACAAUGCAUCCGGUGAAAUUGAAAUACCAGUGAAGAUGCUGGUUACCCGCGCCAGGACGGAAAGACCCCAUGGAGCUUUACUCCAGUUUGAUGCUGGGAUUCGGUACUGCAUGUACAGGAUAGGCGGGAGACUAGGAAGAUAUAACGCCAGUUGUAUCAGAGUCGCUGUUGGGAUACCGCCCUUGUAGUACUGGGUUUCUAACCUGCCACCGUGAACCGGUGGAGGGACAACGUCAGGCGGGGAGUUUGACUGGGGCGGUCGCCUCCGAAAGGGUAUCGGAGGCGCUCAAAGGUUCCCUCAGAAUGGUUGGAAACCAUUCGAAGGGUGCAAAGGCAGAAGGGAGCUUGACUGCGAGGUCGACGGACCGAGCAGGUACGAAAGUAGGACUUAGUGAUCCGGUGGUAGAAAGUGGGAUUGCCAUCGCUCAACGGAUAAAAGCUACCCUGGGAUAACAGGCUAAUCACUCCCAAGAGUUCACAUCGACGGAGUGGUUUGGCACCUCGAUGUCGGCUCAUCGCAUCCUGGGGCUGUAGCAGGUCCCAAGGGUUGGGCUGUUCGCCCAUUAAAGCGGUACGCGAGCUGGGUUCAGAACGUCGUGAGACAGUUCGGUCCCUAUCCGGCGCGGGCGUAGGAUAUCUGAAAGGAGCUGGCCUUGGUACGAGAGGACCGGGCUGGACGGACCGCUGGUGUAUCUGUUGUCAUACCAAUGGCAUAGCAGGGUAGCCAAGUCUGGAAGGGAUAAACGCUGAAGGCAUCUAAGCGUGAAGCCCCCCUUAAGAUAAGAUAUCCCUGGAGUUAAUCCAGUAAGACCCCUUGAAGACGACGAGGUAGAUAGGGCAGAGGUGGAAGUGUGGUAACACAUGGAGCUGACUGUCACUAAUAGGUCGAGGGCUUGAUC
Molecule: ribosomal RNA, 1416 nt
Filed under: metagenome
Description: bacterial LSU rRNA
Rfam family: Bacterial large subunit ribosomal RNA
Source: RNAcentral